AAAGCUGAGCGCUGAAGGCUUGAACGCUCAGAGCGCUGCUUUCGAGCGUCACAUUCACCGGGAACUACAAGGAGAACAAGAUGACGACUCCUAACACUGACUUUAUGACUGUUGGAAAUAACAGCCCUGCCAACACAUUCCUUGACUCAGAGUUUCGUUACACUCUCUUUCCUAUAUUCUAUGGACUGGUCUUUCCCUUGGGGUUGAUGGCCAACUGCUACGCUCUUUAUGUGCUGCACCAUAUGCGGGAGUGUAAAGCCAUGAAUGAGAUUCGAAUCUACAUGACCAAUUUGACUGUUGCAGACCUGCUGUUUGUGGUCGCUCUACCGUUCUGGAUUGACUACUACAAGAAUCACGGCAACUGGAGGAGCCCAGAAUUCCUCUGUAGUAUCACAGGCUCUCUUUUCUUCAUCAACACAUACUGCUCUAUUCUCUUCCUUGCUGUCAUCAGCAUUAACCGUUACUGGGCCGUUACCAGGCCACUGGUGGCUGCUUCUUCUGAUUCCUGGAAACGUGGAGCAAUCAUCUCAGCGCUCAUCUGGGUCAUCACUCUUGCAGCUUCAAUUAAAUAUCUCACUAAUACGGGAAUCCAGAAGGACAAUAACAUUUCUCGCUGUUUUGAGGGUUAUCAAAACGAGGAAAACUCUACAAUAAACACAGUGGCCGUCACCCACUUCAUCAUUAUUGCCGUGUUCUUUCUUGUUUUCUUGAUGGUGAUUGUCUGCAACAUUUUGAUUGCUCGAGCUCUUCUAAAGCAGCCCAUCAGUCAGCCUCGAGCCAGCACAGGAAAGCGUCCCGGUGGUACUAAGCGCAGAGCUUUGAGGAUGCUGUGUACUGUCAUAGGCGUCUUUGUGAUCUGUUUCCUCCCCCACCACGUGGUGCAGGGACCCUGGGUGUUGUCUGUGCUGCACUUGAGGAAAGAUUGGGAAGACAAAACUCACCAAAGAUUAAACGAUGCUCACCAGAUCACCCUCAUGCUUAUGGGGCUCAAUUGCCUACUGGACCCGCUGGUGUAUUGCUUCGCCACUACAAUGUUCCGCAAGUACAUCCAGAACCAUUUCACAAAGGUCAAGCAAAGCAAAAACUGUUCACACAACACAUUAAGCACAGCUAUGUCACUGAAGAGCAGACAUCAGAGUGAAAAAUGAAGAUCAGAAAACUGCUGAGAAAUAUUUGGUGUCUGCUUAUUUUAGCAAAUUGUAAUCUUAUAUACUGUAGAUUAGAAAACUGCUGAAAAAUAUUUAUUGUCUGCUUAUUUUAACAAUAUUUAUUUAUUGUCUGCUUUAUUUAUUUAGAUUCUAGUGGAAAUUAAUUUCAAUUCCAAAUUAGGUUCUGUUUGGAUUCUUAAAGGAAUAGUUCAUCUAAAAAUGAAAAUACUGUCAUCAUUUACUCAACCUCAUAUUGUUCCAAAGGAGUUACCGUGAGACUGGGCAAAUGAUGACAGAACUUUCAUUUUUAGGUAAACCAUCCCUUUAAAUGGUAAUCAAAUUAUUGACAUGAUCUUCAGUUGCUGCCCUUUGCAGAUAAACGAGAUAAUUCCAUCUCUUCAAAUUGUUCAAUGCAUAUGAUAAAUGCUUUAUAUACUGAAAUAUUAAGCUUCUUCCACCUGAUAUUUGAUUCAUGUAUUGUAAUAUUGUCUUUUAAAGAAAAAAAUCACCGAAAAAGGAAUGUGCAUGAUGCCUUUAAAUGUUUGCACUUGUGUAAGUGAAAUAUCUAUAUUGGUUAGAAAAGCAUAUUAUCUGUAAAAGGGUUGUUAUUUUUGAUAAGAUGUGGUGUUCAUUCUUGUGUUAAACAAAUGAAAACAUGAUGUCAUAUCAGUAGACAGUCUUCUCUAGAAUAAGGAUGACAAAUGAGCCAAGAGGAUGCUGUGGUAGUUCUGACCAAACCAAGAGGUGAUAAGAACAGAAGACAGCUCAAUUGUUAUUUUAGACAAUGCAGAUGACAGAGCUUCACUGUCUAUCUUAAAUAAGGGAGAGAUUGUGGUGCUGCUGAGGAGUUUGGAAUAUCAGGAAUAUAAAUUGCUCUUCGUCAAAUUGCUCUUGAUAGUUUAUUUCUGCCUCAUGUUAAUAUGACAACACAUAUUUAUUGUACUACGUUGGUUGUUUUGAAGUAGCUCUGUGAGGAGCAUUCCUGUGGGCCAGUUCUUAUGCCACAAAGGAAACCCAAGUAUUAUUUUGCAGUGGUUUGAUUUCCAGAAUGGGGAACUUGAACCACACAUCCCCUGGAAAUGUGCACUUAAACUUUGAAAUUACCAAUAAACUGCCCUUUUCUUGAUCUCUUAUAUCUUUUUACAAGAUAUUUAUAUCUUUCUUUUUAUAUGUAAGGAUUUGCAAAUCCAGACUUUUAAGAAAAUAUGUGUUUAAAUUCCCAGUAAUAUCUUGCCAUUUUUCUAUUGUUUAAUUAACAAGGUGUGUACAUGACCUUGGAAUUAUAAGGUUCUAUUUGAUAUUUUUGUCAAAAUUUAGUUAUUCACAUAUUCUUAUUCAGGGACAACUUAUUUAUAUUAUGUGAUAAAUUUUUUAAUGUUCUGUACAGUUUGGGCCUUUUAUUUAAAUAAACAACAAAGUUGUAUCUAUAUAGUCGAAUGGAAUGCAAAAACAUUGAAGCUCAAAAUCUCAAAACUACUCGGAAUGCAGAUAGAACCUUAUAAUUCCAAGGGGACGCUGUGUGUUUUAUGGUGGUCCUUUAGACAAUUAUUCAAUCAUGUUUAUUUCCUUGUUGCAUUAGCACAUUGUAAAAUAACAUAAUGCUUGUAUGACAGCUGCUUCUGCUGAAUCUUUCUCAGCAAUUAACUUCUACAUUAAGCAGGAAGUUUUGCAAGAUGGUGUUGUACAGUCCUUUUUGUU
This is an RNA transcript of Carassius carassius (crucian carp), 2846 nucleotides long. It is a transcript of the gene named platelet-activating factor receptor-like, with no coding region annotated. The record is from RefSeq and is a predicted model, not a curated record. The transcript is spliced from 3 exons. NCBI's taxonomy places the organism in Eukaryota, Metazoa, Chordata, Actinopteri, Cypriniformes, Cyprinidae.